Molecule: ribosomal RNA, 380 nt
Filed under: gamma proteobacterium SCGC AAA023-B16
Lineage: Bacteria; Pseudomonadati; Pseudomonadota; Gammaproteobacteria
Description: partial 16S small subunit ribosomal RNA
Rfam family: Bacterial small subunit ribosomal RNA
Source: RNAcentral
AGCCUGAUCCAGCCAUGCCGCGUGNGUGAAGAAGGCCUUCGGNUUGUAAAGCCCUUUANGUUGGAAGGAAGGGCAGUNNAUUAAUACUUNGGUGUUUUGACGNUACCGACAGAAUAAGCACCGGCUAACUUCGUGCCAGCAGCCGCGGUAAUACGAAGGGUGCAAGCGUUAAUCGGAAUUACUGGGCGUAAAGCGCGCGUAGGUGGUUNUUUAAGUCGGAUGUGAAAUCCCCGGGCUCAACCUGGGAACUGCAUUCGAAACUGGCGAGCUAGAGUAUGGUAGAGGGUGGUGGAAUUCCCGGUGUAGCNGUGAAAUGCGUAGAUAUNGGNAGGAACACCCAUGGCGAAGGCNACCACCUGGACCUGAUACUGACACUGAGG